This 281-nucleotide ribosomal RNA is filed under the name uncultured prokaryote. RNAcentral's name for it is "partial 16S ribosomal RNA". It matches the Rfam family "Bacterial small subunit ribosomal RNA", at positions 506 to 786 of the family's 1533-position model. The record is from RNAcentral.
UGCCAGCAGCCGCGGUAAUACGUAGGUGGCAAGCGUUGUCCGGAUUUAUUGGGCGUAAAGCGAGCGCAGGCGGUUUCUUAAGUCUGAUGUGAAAGCCCCCGGCUCAACCGGGGAGGGUCAUUGGAAACUGGGAGACUUGAGUGCAGACGAGGAGAGUGGAAUUCCAUGUGUAGCGGUGAAAUGCGUAGAUAUAUGGAGGAACACCAGUGGCGAAGGCGGCUCUCUGGUCUGUAACUGACGCUGAGGCUCGAAAGCGUGGGGAGCAAACAGGAUUAGAUACC